CAUUUAGAGGAAGUAAAAGUCGUAACAAGGUUUCCGUAGGUGAACCUGCGGAAGGAUCAUUAUUGAAUAAACCUGAUGUGGUUGUAGCUGGCCCUUUCGGGGGUAUGUGCACGCCCGUCAUCUUUAUCUUUCCACCUGUGCACUUUUUGUAGACCUGGAUGUAACACUUUCCGAGGCAACUCGGUCGGGAGGAAUGCUGUCGGCUUUCCUUGGAUGUCCAGGCCUAUGUUUUCACAUACCCCAAAGAAUGUAACAGAAUGUAUCAUUGGGCCUUGUGCCUAUAAACUAUAUACAACUUUCAGCAACGGAUCUCUUGGCUCUCGCAUCGAUGAAGAACGCAGCGAAAUGCGAUAAGUAAUGUGAAUUGCAGAAUUCAGUGAAUCAUCGAAUCUUUGAACGCACCUUGCGCUCCUUGGUAUUCCGAGGAGCAUGCCUGUUUGAGUGUCAUUAAAUUCUCAACCUUACCAGCUUUUGUUGGUAAUGGCUUGGAUGUGGGGGUCUUUUGCUGGCUUCGUGAAGAGGUCUGCUCCCCUUAAAUGCAUUAGCCGGUGCCCUGCGUGGAUCCGUCUAUUGGUGUGAUAAUUAUCUACGCCGUGGACGUCUGCUUUAAAUGGGAUGCACUGCUUCUAACCGUCCGUUCAGUUGGACAAUCAAUGACAAUUUGACCUCAAAUCAGGUAGGACUACCCGCUGAACUUAAGCAUAUCAAUAAGCG
This 714-nucleotide ribosomal RNA is filed under the name Galerina sp. 1 RB-2011. RNAcentral describes it as "eukaryotic LSU rRNA". The stretch from base 294 to 447 matches the Rfam family "5.8S ribosomal RNA". Lineage: Eukaryota; Fungi; Basidiomycota; Agaricomycetes; Agaricales; Galerinaceae. The record is from RNAcentral.